This 484-nucleotide ribosomal RNA is filed under the name uncultured bacterium. Its description in RNAcentral is "partial 16S ribosomal RNA". It matches the Rfam family "Bacterial small subunit ribosomal RNA", at positions 30 to 507 of the family's 1533-position model. The record is from RNAcentral.
AUUGAACGCUGGCGGCAGGCCUAACACAUGCAAGUCGAGCGGAUGAAGGGAGCUUGCUCCUGGAUUCAGCGGCGGACGGGUGAGUAAUGCCUAGGAAUCUGCCUGGUAGUGGGGGAUAACGUCCGGAAACGGGCGCUAAUACCGCAUACGUCCUGAGGGAGAAAGUGGGGGAUCUUCGGACCUCACGCUAUCAGAUGACCCUAGGUCGGAUUAGCUAGUUGGUGGGGUAAAGGCCUACCAAGGCGACGAUCCGUAACUGGUCUGAGAGGAUGAUCAGUCACACUGGAACUGAGACACGGUCCAGACUCCUACGGGAGGCAGCAGUAGGGAAUAUUGGACAAUGGGCGAAAGCCUGAUCCAGCCAUGCCGCGUGUGUGAAGAAGGUCUUCGGAUUGUAAAGCACUUUAAGUUGGGAGGAAGGGCAGUAAGUUAAUACCUUGCUGUUUUGACGUUACCAACAGAAUAAGCACCGGCUAACUUCGUG